UAGGGAAUAUUAGACAAUGGGGGCAACCCUGAUCCAGCCAUGCCGCGUGAGUGAAGAAGGCCCUCGGGUUGUAAAGCUCUUUUGUCCGGAAAGAAAAGCUUCGGGUUAAUACACCGGGGUUCUGACGGUACCGGAAGAAUAAGCACCGGCUAACUACGUGACAGCAGCCGCGGUAAUACGUAGGGUGCGAGCGUUAAUCGGAAUUACUGGGCGUAAAGCGUGCGCAGGCGGUCUUGCAAGACAGUGGUGAAAUCCCCGGGCUCAACCUGGGAACUGCCAUUGUGACUGCAAGGCUUGAGUACGGCAGAGGGGUAUGGAAUUCCGAGUGUAGCAGUGAAAUGCGUAGAUAUGCGGAGGAACACCGAUGGCGAAGGCAGUCCCCUGGGCCUGUACUGACGCUCAUGCACGAAAGCGUGGGGAGCAAACA
This 427-nucleotide ribosomal RNA is filed under the name uncultured bacterium. Its description in RNAcentral is "bacterial SSU rRNA". It matches the Rfam family "Bacterial small subunit ribosomal RNA", at positions 355 to 774 of the family's 1533-position model. The record is from RNAcentral.